AUUGAACGCUGGCGGCAUGCCUUACACAUGCAAGUCGAACGGUAACAGGUCUUCGGAUGCUGACGAGUGGCGAACGGGUGAGUAAUACAUCGGAACGUGCCUAGUAGUGGGGGAUAACUACUCGAAAGAGUGGCUAAUACCGCAUGAGAUCUACGGAUGAAAGCAGGGGAUCGCAAGACCUUGUGCUACUAGAGCGGCCGAUGGCAGAUUAGGUAGUUGGUGGGAUAAAAGCUUACCAAGCCGACGAUCUGUAGCUGGUCUGAGAGGACGAUCAGCCACACUGGGACUGAGAUACGGCCCAGACUCCUACGGGAGGAAGCAGUGGGGAAUUUUGGACAAUGGGCGAAAGCCUGAUCCAGCAAUGCCGCGUGCAGGAUGAAGGCCUUCGGGUUGUAAACUGCUUUUGUACGGAACGAAAAGCCCCGGGUUAAUACCCUGGGGUCAUGACGGUACCGUAAGAAUAUGCACCGGCUAACUACGUGCCAGCCGCCGCGGUAA
This 498-nucleotide ribosomal RNA is filed under the name uncultured bacterium. Its description in RNAcentral is "partial 16S ribosomal RNA". It matches the Rfam family "Bacterial small subunit ribosomal RNA", at positions 30 to 523 of the family's 1533-position model. The record is from RNAcentral.